ACUUAGCCUCAAGAAGCUCACAGAGCUAGCUCCACUUUAGGGGAUGGCAGAAUGGUGAAUACAUAAAACAGAAGAAUCUUUAACAUUUGGGAGGUGGAGGCAGGAAGAUCAGUUUAAGGUUAUCCUUGGCUAUAUAGUGACUUGGGACCAAUUUGCAAAAAGAAAAAAAAUAAGAAGAAAGAAAACGAAAUAUUUUCACCUCGAGAGGCAUAGUCACUGUGGAGAAGUAGAGAUAUGACUGGGAGCAGCUGGUCACAUCUACAUUCAAGAACAGAGAGAGAAUGAACAUAUGGCUGCCCGUGCAGGACCCCAGACUUAGGGGAUGGUACCGCCCAUGGAUUUCUCUGGGUACCGGAACUCAUGCUGUAGACCAGAGUGGUCAUGAACUCAGAAACCUGCCUACUACCUCUGCCUCCUGAGUGCUGGGAUUAAAGGCAUGCACCACCACCUACCUGCACGACAAUCAAAAUUUAACCUCCACAACCGUAUGUGUUUGCCUACCCAUCAGGGGAUAGACAUUUGGAAUAGAACCAAGAAGGACCUGACCAAGUUAUAUCCUCGCUAUCGGCAAGAAAAUCUUAGAACAACGUGCCAAUAUGC
RNAcentral lists this long non-coding RNA (600 nucleotides) under Mus pahari (shrew mouse). RNAcentral describes it as "lncRNA (MGP_PahariEiJ_G0005200.1)". Lineage: Eukaryota; Metazoa; Chordata; Mammalia; Rodentia; Muridae. The record is from RNAcentral.